RNAcentral lists this ribosomal RNA (465 nucleotides) under uncultured bacterium. RNAcentral describes it as "partial 16S ribosomal RNA". It matches the Rfam family "Bacterial small subunit ribosomal RNA", at positions 28 to 507 of the family's 1533-position model. The record is from RNAcentral.
GACGAACGCUGGCGGCGUGCUUAACACAUGCAAGUCGAACGGAAAGGCCCCUUUGGGGGUACUCGAGUGGCGAACGGGUGAGUAACACGUGAGUAACCUGCCCUUGACUUCGGGAUAACUUCAGGAAACUGGGGCUAAUACCGGAUAGGAAUCCUUGCUGCAUGGUGGGGGUUGGAAAGCUUCGGCGGUUUUGGAUGGACUCGCGGCUUAUCAGCUUGUUGGUGGGGUAGUGGUUUACCAAGGCUUUGACGGGUAGCCGGCCUGAGAGGGCGACCGGCCACAUUGGGACUGAGAUACGGCCCAGACUCCUACGGGAGGCAGCAGUGGGGAAUAUUGCACAAUGGGCGGAAGCCUGAUGCAGCAACGCCGCGUGCGGGAUGACGGCCUUCGGGUUGUAAACCGCUUUCAGCAGGGGCGAAGCUUGUGGUGACGGUACCUGCAGAAGAAGCACCGGCUAACUACGUG